Mytilus californianus (California mussel) is the source of this 1903-nucleotide long non-coding RNA. RefSeq lists it as uncharacterized. The record is from RefSeq and is a predicted model, not a curated record. NCBI's taxonomy places the organism in Eukaryota, Metazoa, Mollusca, Bivalvia, Mytilida, Mytilidae. The transcript has 3 exons.
GUCAGUUAAAAAUAGCUGACAAACAUAAUGUGAGCAUUAACAGACAAAAUCAUGAGGUUAACAAGACGAUGAAAAUCUAUGACUGAUAAAAUACUGCUGCUAACAUUUCUCGGUAUUGGAACUUGCAUUGUUGGAAUGUCCCUAAUGAAGAAGUUGUUCCGUCGAAAAAAGAUGAAACAUUCACAUCUGAACGAAAGUGUGGCGACUGCAACUUUGAAGGAAGUAUCUACUGACAGUUUACUCGAUUCUGAAACAGACCAAUCAGAGAUAAAUGAAGAGAAAGAAAGCGAAGUGAUUAAAUCAACGUCUUCGUCAUCAUCAAACUCUGAUGCGUCUAUAAAUCAAAAUGUUAGGAAAACCAGGCGAAAGUUGAACUCUGCUCUCAGGAAAUACAGAAGAACAGAAACGAAAUUACGACGAAAAAAGAAUGAAAUAGUACAAAUGGAAAGUGAAAUAGAAAAUCUCGUGCAGGCUGUGAAGAACAAUGAAGUCAGUAUGGAAUCUCUACAUGAAGAAUUUAAUAGCAAAAAGUUGGAAAUGUUAGCCAUUACGUCAUUCAUUACACCUGAAUCGGAAAGUGAUAUUAGGAAGAAAGAAGUUCUUUGCUAUAAGCGGUACUCCAAUAUCAAGACGGUAGUAGACGCCAAAAGUGUACUGACAAUGAUCAGACAGAGACAGAAAGCAUUAAAAACUUUGGAGAUCCUUACUUUUAAGAAAUUCUGGUCCAUCGCACACAAAACAGACAAGACAGAAAACACUGCAGUUAUUCGGAGUGGGAUAGAAAACUGGUUUCGUCAUUUUAGACACAAUACAUUUACUAGUGAUUCAAGCCAAGAGAGCCAAAAUAAUACUCAAGAGGAAAAAGAAGAGACACAUGCCGCAAUUUUUGCAAACCCUACGUUUGUACCUUUAGUCGAAGCAACGAUAUGAAUAAAAAAAGAAAGACUUCUCAAAGAAACUGAGUAAUACACUUAAUAUUGUUUUUCCGAUACUAAGGCAACAACCAUUUGAUAAAUCUUGUAAAUGUUGCAAGAAGAACCCAUUCACUUAGGCGCGAAAAUUAUUUAUCAUCUUCCACAAAAAGUAGUAGUUGAACAAUUUUGUUUUCUGUAUGCAAAUUUAAAACAAUUGAAGUAAUGGAGUAAUGUAAACAUUUAAAAAUAAUAAUAAUAGAAUAAAAGGAUAAGAAAAUGUCUAUCAGAAAAAUCCAUGACCAUCUCUAAGAAAUCAGUUUUCAAUUUGGUAAACCCUGGUAACAACAAAAUUUUCCAUUUGUGAUUUUUUCCUGAUAUAUAAAAUGGGUAGGGGUCCAUACAUAAUCUGCAAAAGUUUGGUUGGUGUUACCGUUGCAUUUUAUAUUAAGUGAAUAGUGAAAAUCACCAGUUUCCCCUCCCACAAUAAAAAAAGUCGAAAACACCAGUAGGUGUACAUUGUUGUUAGCACAUUUUGUCGAUAGAAAUAACCAUACCUGUUUACAUAUCUAGUAAAAACAUAUUUUGAAGUAAAUCUGAUAUGUCAUAGUUAUAUUUAUGGCCUGAAUGUAAAUUAAUGGUUGAAAAUCAAUGAACAUGUCAUAAAUUUGGGUUAAUCUCAGAUUUAAUUUUUCCAAACACAGCCAGAAAAAAAUCUUUUAGUUAAUUUUGCAAAAAAAUGCUGUAACAGUUACCGUAUAUAGGCCUAUAACUUUAAAAUCACAUACUUCCAUGCAAUUUGACAGUUUUUACAAAAAUCUGUUAACUAUUUGACUAACAGACAUAAAAAGAAACAAGAACAUUUUGAAUUAAAUUAUUAUUUUUUCCACAAACACUUCUAUGUAAAGUUUUUCUUACUAGUAUGUUUUGUGUGCGUAGUAAAAAAUGUUUCAUCUAAACUUUAACUACAGUAAAGUUUUUACGGAAAAUCA